Molecule: ribosomal RNA, 431 nt
Filed under: uncultured bacterium
Lineage: Bacteria
Description: partial 16S ribosomal RNA
Rfam family: Bacterial small subunit ribosomal RNA
Source: RNAcentral
AACGAACGCUGGCGGCAGGCUUAACACAUGCAAGUCGAGCGCCUCGCAAGAGGAGCGGCAGACGGGUGAGUAACGCGUGGGAACGUACCCUUAUCUUCGGAAUAGCUCUGGGAAACUGGAAGUAAUACCGAAUGUGCCCUUAGGGGGAAAGAUUUAUCGGAUAAGGAUCGGCCCGCGUUGGAUUAGCUAGUUGGUGGGGUAAAGGUCUACCAAGGCGACGAUCCAUAGCUGGUCUGAGAGGAUGAUCAGCCACAUUGGGACUGAGACACGGCCCAAACUCCUACGGGAGGCAGCAGUGGGGAAUAUUGGACAAUGGGCGCAAGCCUGAUCCAGCCAUGCCGCGUGAGUGAUGAAGGCCUUAGGGUUGUAAAGCUCUUUCACCGGAGAAGAUAAUGACGGUAUCCGGAGAAGAAGCCCCGGCUAACUUCGUG